ACGGGGUAAACCUGAGAAACCCGAAUGGUCGAAUGGGGAAAUUCAUUCGCGUCUCGGCGCCGGCGAGGGACGGUUACGUGACGGACGGCGUUCGCGUCGCUCGCACUUUCCGUUUUUCGAACCGGCGUCKAACGCGUGCACUUUUCCCCUAGUAGGACGUCGCGAUCCGUUGGGUAUCGGUCUAAGGCCCGCGGUGGAGCCCGCGCGGACGUUUCGGCGUUCCGCUCGAACCCGCGGUGUCCCGGCCGAUUCGCUCGACGGUAUAAAGAUGGCGCGGGGCCGCAACUCAGUUUGCGUUCGGCCUACGGCAAGCACGUUCGGUGCGGUGGAGAUCGGACUUCGUGCCGGUCCUACCCACCGGCGACUGUUGGCCGUGGUGUUCUCGAACAGACCUCGUCGAAACGCCGAUCUGCGACGCUAUAGCUUUGGGUAAUUUCAGGACCCGUCUUGAAACACGGACCAAGGAGUCUAGCAUGUGCGCGAGUCAUUGGGACAUAACUAAACCUAAAGGCGUAAUGAAAGUAAAGAUCCGCCUCGCGCGGAUCGAGGGAGGAUGGGCGGUUUACUCUCGAGUGGCCGCUCCGCACUCCCGGGGCGUCUCGUUCUCAUCGCGAGAAGAGGCGCACCAAGAGCGUACACGCUGGGACCCGAAAGAUGGUGAACUAUGCCUGGUCAGGACGAAGUCAGGGGAAACCCUGAUGGAGGUCCGUAGCGAUUCUGACGUGCAAAUCGAUCGUCGGAACUGGGUAUAGGGGCGAAAGASUAAUCG
Molecule: ribosomal RNA, 769 nt
Filed under: Lema sp. JJG308
Lineage: Eukaryota; Metazoa; Arthropoda; Insecta; Coleoptera; Chrysomelidae
Description: eukaryotic LSU rRNA
Rfam family: Eukaryotic large subunit ribosomal RNA
Source: RNAcentral